UAACAAAGAGACUGAACACUUUGAGAUUUGUGGUAGCCCAGCGCUGAAUAUUGAUAAAGCACAGAUCCUAACAGACUCAAGAGAUUAAAGUCCAUGUGCCAGACAAGCUACUGCUAAUGGGUAUUUGCUUCAGCCAACCCAGGAGCAGCCUGCCUGGACAGGAGGCUGGAGAGGUGCCUGGAUUUGUCGGUAGAACAGAACUGGGGCCAUCUCUUCAAAGGCAGAGAUUCUCACCUUGAUCUGUCCUCCAGAUGAGGUUAAGAUGAUACUAAUAUGUUUCUCAUGGUCCCCACUGGCUUAAUUCCAGGAGAACUGGCACAAACCCCCAAAAUACUUAGGAAGAAAACUGUAGUCUUUCUUUUCAACCCACAAAACUAUUGUGUAAAUAAGAGGGAAAAUCCAGUAAAAUUCCUUUUGUA
Molecule: long non-coding RNA, 419 nt
Organism: Apodemus sylvaticus (European woodmouse)
Lineage: Eukaryota; Metazoa; Chordata; Mammalia; Rodentia; Muridae
Exons: 2
Source: RefSeq, a predicted model, not a curated record